RNAcentral lists this microRNA precursor (207 nucleotides) under Oryza nivara. Its description in RNAcentral is "MIR812 microRNA precursor family". It matches the Rfam family "MIR812 microRNA precursor family". Lineage: Eukaryota; Viridiplantae; Streptophyta; Magnoliopsida; Poales; Poaceae. The record is from Rfam by way of RNAcentral.
UUUAAGUGUAACUAUGAGUUUUUUUUGUCCAAUUUUAAUCGUCUGUCUUAUUUGAAAAUUUUUUUAUAAUUAGUAUUUUUGUUGUUAGGAGAUGAUAAAACAUGAAAGUACUUUACUCAUGACUUAUGUUUUUAAUUUUUUUUAAAAAAAAUUUAAAUAAAAUCAUGGGUGCAUUUAAAAUGGGAUAGAUUGACCGGAGUAUUUUGG